This 439-nucleotide ribosomal RNA is filed under the name uncultured Treponema sp. Its description in RNAcentral is "bacterial SSU rRNA". It matches the Rfam family "Bacterial small subunit ribosomal RNA", at positions 338 to 769 of the family's 1533-position model. Lineage: Bacteria; Pseudomonadati; Spirochaetota; Spirochaetia; Treponematales; Treponemataceae. The record is from RNAcentral.
CCUACGGGGGGCAGCAGCUAAGAAUAUUCCGCAAUGGACGAAAGUCUGACGGAGCGACGCCGCGUGGAUGAAGAAGGCCGAAAGGUUGUAAAGUUCUUUUGUUGGGGAAGAAUAACCAUGGGAGGGAAUGCCCGUGGGAUGACAUGAACCGACGAAUAAGCCCCGGCUAACUACGUGCCAGCAGCCGCGGUAACACGUAGGGGGCGAGCGUUGUUCGGAAUUACUGGGCGUAAAGGGCAUGUAGGCGGUCUUGUAAGCUUGGCGUGAAAGACCACGGCUCAACCGUGGGAUUGCGUUGAGAACUGCGAGGCUUGAGUGACGGAGAGGGAGCUAGAAUUCCUGGUGUAGGGGUGGAAUCUGUAGAGAUCAGGAAGAAUACCAAUGGCGAAGGCAAGCUCCUGGCCGAUGACUGACGCUGAGGUGCGAAAGUGUGGGGAUC